GACGAACGCUGGCGGCGUGCUUAACACAUGCAAGUCGAACGGAAAGGCCCUGCUUUUGUGGGGUGCUCGAGUGGCGAACGGGUGAGUAACACGUGAGUAACCUGCCCUUGACUUUGGGAUAACUUCAGGAAACUGGGGCUAAUACCGGAUAGGAGCUCCUGCUGCAUGGUGGUGGUUGGAAAGUUUCGGCGGUUGGGGAUGGACUCGCGGCUUAUCAGCUUGUUGGGGGGGUAGUGGCUUACCAAGGCUUUGACGGGUAGCCGGCCUGAGAGGGUGACCGGCCACAUUGGGACUGAGAUACGGCCCAGACUCCUACGGGAGGCAGCAGGGGGGAAUUUUGCACAAUGGGCGGAAGCCUGAUGCAGCAACGCCGCGUGCGGGAUGACGGCCUUCGGGUUGUAAACCGCUUUCGCCUGUGACGAAGCGUGAGUGACGGUAAUGGGUAAAGAAGCACCGGCUAACUACGUG
This 468-nucleotide ribosomal RNA is filed under the name uncultured bacterium. Its description in RNAcentral is "partial 16S ribosomal RNA". It matches the Rfam family "Bacterial small subunit ribosomal RNA", at positions 28 to 507 of the family's 1533-position model. The record is from RNAcentral.